RNAcentral lists this ribosomal RNA (468 nucleotides) under uncultured bacterium. RNAcentral describes it as "partial 16S ribosomal RNA". It matches the Rfam family "Bacterial small subunit ribosomal RNA", at positions 28 to 507 of the family's 1533-position model. The record is from RNAcentral.
GACGAACGCUGGCGGCGUGCUUAACACAUGCAAGUCGAACGGAAAGGCCCUGCUUUUGUGGGGUGCUCGAGUGGCGAACGGGUGAGUAACACGUGAGUAACCUGCCCUUGACUUUGGGAUAACUUCAGGAAACUGGGGCUAAUACCGGAUAGGAGCUCCUGCUGCAUGGUGGGGGUUGGAAAGUUUCGGCGGUUGGGGAUGGACUCGCGGCUUAUCGGCUUGUUGGUGGGGUAGUGGCUUACCAAGGCUUUGACGGGUAGCCGGCCUGAGAGGGUGACAGGCCACAUUGGGACUGAGAUACGGCCCAGACUCCUACGGGAGGCAGCAGUGGGGAAUAUUGCACAAUGGGCGGAAGCCUGAUGCAGCAACGCCGCGUGCGGGAUGACGGCCUUCGGGUUGUAAACCGCUUUCGCCUGUGACGAAGCGUGAGUGACGGUAAUGGGUAAAGAAGCACCGGCUAACUACGUG